RNAcentral lists this ribosomal RNA (495 nucleotides) under Fusarium oxysporum. RNAcentral's name for it is "eukaryotic LSU rRNA". The stretch from base 172 to 325 matches the Rfam family "5.8S ribosomal RNA". The record is from RNAcentral. Lineage: Eukaryota; Fungi; Ascomycota; Sordariomycetes; Hypocreales; Nectriaceae.
UUGGGCUGCGGAGGGAUCAUUACCGAGUUUACAACUCCCAAACCCCUGUGAACAUACCACUUGUUGCCUCGGCGGAUCAGCCCGCUCCCGGUAAAACGGGACGGCCCGCCAGAGGACCCCUAAAACUCUGUUUCUAUAUGUAACUUCUGAGUAAAACCAUAAAUAAAUCAAAACUUUCAACAACGGAUCUCUUGGUUCUGGCAUCGAUGAAGAACGCAGCAAAAUGCGAUAAGUAAUGUGAAUUGCAGAAUUCAGUGAAUCAUCGAAUCUUUGAACGCACAUUGCGCCCGCCAGUAUUCUGGCGGGCAUGCCUGUUCGAGCGUCAUUUCNACCCUCAAGCACAGCUUGGUGUUGGGACUCGCGUUAAUUCGCGUUCCUCAAAUUGAUUGGCGGUCACGUCGAGCUUCCAUAGCGUAGUAGUAAAACCCUCGUUACUGGUAAUCGUCGCGGCCACGCCGUUAAACCCCAACUUCUGAAUGUGACCUCGAUCAGGAG